GACGAACGCUGGCGGCGUGCCUAACACAUGCAAGUCGAGCGGAGGUACUGGAGGAGUAAUCUGAGAGUACUUGAGCGGCGGACGGGUGAGUAACACGUAGGCAACCUGCCUAUAAGACUGGGAUAACUAUCGGAAACGAUAGCUAAGACCGGAUAACUGAUUUUCUCGCAUGAGAGAAUUAUGAAACACGGAGCAAUCUGUGGCUUAUAGAUGGGCCUGCGGCGCAUUAGCUAGUUGGUAGGGUAACGGCCUACCAAGGCGACGAUGCGUAGCCGACCUGAGAGGGUGAACGGCCACACUGGGACUGAGACACGGCCCAGACUCCUACGGGUGGCAG
Molecule: ribosomal RNA, 337 nt
Filed under: uncultured Bacillota bacterium
Lineage: Bacteria; Bacillati; Bacillota
Description: bacterial SSU rRNA
Rfam family: Bacterial small subunit ribosomal RNA
Source: RNAcentral